Macaca nemestrina (pig-tailed macaque) is the source of this 105-nucleotide small nuclear RNA. NCBI's taxonomy places the organism in Eukaryota, Metazoa, Chordata, Mammalia, Primates, Cercopithecidae. The record is from Ensembl.
GUGCUCGCCUUGGCAGCACAUACACUAAAAUGGGAACAAUAUGGAGAAGAUUAGCAUGACCCCUAAAAAGUAAAAAAUAAACCAAUAAUGAUGCACUAAUUCGGU